CGGGUGAGUAACACGUGAGCAACCUGCCUUUCAGUGGGGGACAACAGUUGGAAACGACUGCUAAUACCGCAUAACGUGCCGGAAGGGCAUCCUUUGGUACCAAAGAUUUAUCGCUGAAAGAUGGGCUCGCGUCUGAUUAGAUAGGUGGUGAGGUAACGGCCCACCAAGUCGACGAUCAGUAGCCGGACUGAGAGGUUGAGUCGGCCACAUUGGGACCUGAGACACGGCCCAGACUCCUACGGAAGGCAGCAG
This 252-nucleotide ribosomal RNA is filed under the name uncultured bacterium. Its description in RNAcentral is "partial 16S ribosomal RNA". It matches the Rfam family "Bacterial small subunit ribosomal RNA", at positions 103 to 354 of the family's 1533-position model. The record is from RNAcentral.